UACGGGGGGGGCAAGCGUUGUUCGGAAUUACUGGGCGUAAAGCGUGCGUAGACGGUUGCGUAAGUCAGAUGUGAAAGCCCCGGGCUCAACCUGGGAAUUGCAUUUGAGACUGCGUAGCUAGGGUGCGGAAGAGGGAAGCGGAAUUUCCGGUGUAGCGGUGAAAUGCGUAGAUAUCGGAAGGAACACCAGUGGCGAAAGCGGCUUCCUGGUCCAGCACCGACGUUCAGGCACGAAAGCGUGGGGAGCAAACAGG
Molecule: ribosomal RNA, 253 nt
Filed under: uncultured bacterium
Lineage: Bacteria
Description: partial 16S ribosomal RNA
Rfam family: Bacterial small subunit ribosomal RNA
Source: RNAcentral